This is a ribosomal RNA of Scophthalmus maximus (turbot), 119 nucleotides long. The record is from Ensembl. NCBI's taxonomy places the organism in Eukaryota, Metazoa, Chordata, Actinopteri, Pleuronectiformes, Scophthalmidae.
GCUUACGGCCACACCGCCUGGUUCACGCCCGAUCUCGUUUGAUCUCGGAAGCUAAGAUAGGUUGGGCCUGGUUAGUACUUGGAUGGGAGACCGCCUAGGGAUACCAGGUGCUGUAAGGC